RNAcentral lists this unclassified non-coding RNA (1932 nucleotides) under Zea mays. RNAcentral describes it as "misc RNA Zm00001eb116450". The record is from RNAcentral. Lineage: Eukaryota; Viridiplantae; Streptophyta; Magnoliopsida; Poales; Poaceae.
GGGCCGGCGGCCAACUCCCAGGCUGCUGUCGCCGCAGCUUCCUCUAGCCCUGGCGCGUCGGCUUCCAUCCCCUCCUUGUCUCCUCCUGUGUCCCAUGCAACCAAAGGGCGCUCCAAGUCCGUUCGGUGGGGUGACCUCAGUCCGGCUUCUUCGGAUGGCGCGACGUCGUUCGACUCCCGGCCUUCCUUCAAGGAUGUGCUGGUGAGAACAGCGAACCCUUCGCCGCCCGGCCGCGUGGCAGCCCAAGGGUCUGUCCCGGCAGCUGGAAAGUCCUCGGCGCUAGGGAAGGUGUACCGUCAGCCGCACCCCCUGUCUACAAAACGGCGGAGCCCCAAGCAGGCCACUCAACCCACACCGGCAAUCCGCCCAGCUCCAGGAUUAUCUGACCAUGGAUGGACGACGGUGGAGUCCAAGAAGGGUAGAAGUCGCCGGCUGAAGGCUUCGUGGCUCCCGGGCCGGGUCCCGGCUGAUCUUGUUGGGCGUUGCUUCAACUGCUUGGGUUGCGAUCACCGGGCUGCAGACUGCGGCAGCGAACCUCGGUGUUUCCUCUGUUCUGCGCUUGGCCACAAGUCCUCAUCCUGCCCCAAGGCUUCGGUGUGGAGGAGGCUCGGGUGUCCUAGACCUGUGAAGUCGGUCUGGGAGCGGCUUUCACCGGCGGUAGAGGGAAGGGUCCAACGACCGGCAAGGCGUCGUCCGGUUUGGCAGCGUAUUGCUCCACCAGAAGUCAUUCCGGUCGUCCCUUCUGUCCCGGUGGGCAACAUGCUUGGCGUCUCGGCCGCACAGGGUAAUGGCGGCCCUGCCAGCUCCAGGCGCAAACGGUGGAGGAAGAAGAAGCGCAAGGAGCGUGAAGAUAAGCCGGCUUUGGAGAUUUCGGCUCCACCUCCUCCCGAGCAGAUGCUUCCGGCGAGUGAUGAGACUGCUUGUGUUAUUGAUUGGUCGGUUCAGAUGUCUAUUGCGGAAGAUAAUCUCAAGACGGCUGGGGUGAUCACAGUGGUUAGCUCUAGAGACGUCAGCGCUGACGAGAUCGCGUUGGUUUUGGCCCCACGGCUAGAAAUGGAGGUGGGAGGAUUGGUUCUCCGUCAGUUCUCCCAGUCCAGCUUCUUGGCUGUCUUACCCAACCAAGUGCAGCUCGACACGCUGGUGGAUCGCUUCCAUAUCAUCAGAGAAGAAAACUUCAUGCUCUCCUCUAGGCGUUGGACGAGGUUCAGGGGUGCUGUUGGUAAUUCCUUGAAGCAUCUCGUGGAACUUGAGAUCAGAGGUCUAUCGUUGCACGCGUGGGAGACUUCGGUGGUGCAGCAUUUGAUCAACCUCCAUGCUUGCAUUUCCCAGGUUCUGCCCGACACGCUGGAAAUCAGGAAUCUGGAAGUCUUUCGAUGCCUUGCUUGGUGCUGUGAUCCUGAACAUAUCCCAUCUAAGAAGGACCUCUGGAUCACUGAACCAGACCAGGCUUCUGUUGCUGAAGGGAAGAAGGCUCUGGUGUAUCCGGUGCAAAUUCGUUGGGGCCCUGCUGAUUUGAAUCUCAUACCUGGCGCUCCACAGCCGCCAGUUGGUGCUGGCGAUCAGGACAAACCUGAUACCCCCCUUCACGGAGAAGAUGUGGUGACAACCCUCCACCCACUCAACAUGCUGCAGCCUUUGAAGACCCCGACAUAAUGACCCACAAUCAGCGGCGGCCGGUGCAUGACCGAUUGGGACCUUUGAGGCGCUCGGAUUCCCCCAAGGAAUUGAGCCAGCCUUGGGUUCUGGUUGAUACAGAGGCCCGGAGCAGCCAGCCCUGUGAUCUGCUUGAUGCAGUGGUGUGCAGCAGAGUAGGGAUUCCUCCGGCUCCUGCGCCGGAUGGGGCUCUCUGUCUGGCGGCUGGGGAUGUGCUGCUGCGGCGCGAGGGGGGCUGCGAUUAAGUAAUCCCCAUGACCUCGUUGGCCGCUUCCAGCA